CGCCUAACAGCUAGCUCACUCACCUAGUUUAACAUAAACGUAUUAAUAACCCCUAAAGCAGUUAAUAAUUUAAAUAAAUCAUUCUUCCCCCCUAGUAUGGGCGACAGAAAAGGAUCUAGACGCGAUAGAAAAAGUACCGCAAGGGAACGCUGAAAGAGAAAUGAAACAACCCAGUAAAGCCAAAAAAAGCAGAGCUCACCCCUCGUACCUUUUGCAUCAUGUUUUAGCUAGAGACCCCCGAGCAAAAAGAAUUUUAGUUCGACAACCCGAAACUAGGUGAGCUACUCCAAGACAGCCUAAUAAUAGGGCCUAUCCGUCUCUGUGGCAAAAGAGUGGAGAGAGCUUUGAGUAGAGGUGAUAAGCCUACCGAACCUAGUUAUAGCUGGUUACCUGAAAAUUGAAUAGAAGUUCAGCCUCAUGGAUUCUCACCUCGCCUCUGGCCCCUGCCUAAGUGAGAUACAAAGAAAUCAAGAGAGUUAUUCAAAGGGGGUACAGCCCCUUUGAAGCAAGAUACAACUUUUACAGGCGGCAUAAGAAUCAGAUAUAAGAAAGG
RNAcentral lists this ribosomal RNA (553 nucleotides) under Pseudomugil signifer (Pacific blue-eye). RNAcentral describes it as "partial 16S large subunit ribosomal RNA". It matches the Rfam family "Bacterial large subunit ribosomal RNA", at positions 162 to 1072 of the family's 2925-position model. The record is from RNAcentral. Lineage: Eukaryota; Metazoa; Chordata; Actinopteri; Atheriniformes; Pseudomugilidae.